This 430-nucleotide ribosomal RNA is filed under the name uncultured bacterium. RNAcentral's name for it is "bacterial SSU rRNA". It matches the Rfam family "Bacterial small subunit ribosomal RNA", at positions 354 to 796 of the family's 1533-position model. The record is from RNAcentral.
GUGGGGAAUCUUGCGCAAUGGGCGAAAGCCUGACGCAGCGACGCCGCGUGGGGGAUGAAGGCCUUCGGGUUGUAAACCCCUUUCGGCAGGGAAGAAGCGAAAGUGACGGUACCUGCAGAAGAAGCCCCGGCUAACUACGUGCCAGCAGCCGCGGUAAGACGUAGGGGGCGAGCGUUGUCCGGAUUUAUUGGGCGUAAAGCGCGCGUAGGCGGUCCGUUAAGUCGGAUGUGAAAAUCCGGGGCUCAACCCCGGACCUGCAUCCGAUACUGGCGGGCUGGAGGCAGGUAGGGGAGAUCGGAAUUCCUGGUGUAGCGGUGAAAUGCGCAGAUAUCAGGAGGAACACCGGUGGCGAAGGCGGAUCUCUGGGCCUGUCCUGACGCUCAGGCGCGAAAGCUAGGGGAGCAAACAGGAUUAGAUACCCUGGUAGUCC